UACAGAGGUCUCAAGCGUUGUUCGGAUUCAUUGGGCGUGAAGGGUGCGUAGGUGGCGGGGUUAGUCAGGUGUGAAAUCUCGGGGCUCAACCCCGAAACUGCACUUGAUACUGCCUUGCUAGAGUACUGGAGAGGAGAUUGGAAUUUACGGUGUAGCAGUGAAAUGCGUAGAUAUCGUAAGGAAGACCAGUGGCGAAGGCGAAUCUCUGGACAGUUACUGACACUGAGGCACGAAGGCCAGGGGAGCAAACGGG
Molecule: ribosomal RNA, 253 nt
Filed under: uncultured bacterium
Lineage: Bacteria
Description: partial 16S ribosomal RNA
Rfam family: Bacterial small subunit ribosomal RNA
Source: RNAcentral